AAGUCGAGCGGCAGGGGGGAGCAAUCNUCCUGAGAGCGGCGGACUGGUGAGUAACGCGUGGGUGACNUACCUUAAGGUNGGGGAUAGCCGUUAGAAAUAGCGGGUAAUACCGAAUGUGGUUGCCGGGCAGUGGUCUGGCAAAGAAAGGGGCUCAGGCCCCGCCUUGAGAUGGGCCCGCGUCCCAUUAGGUAGUUGGCAGGGUAAGAGCCUACCAAGCCCGAGAUGGGUAGCCGGCCUGAGAGGGUGAACGGCCACACUGGGACUGAGAUACGGCCCAGACUCCUACGGGAGGCAGCAGCUAAGAAUAUUCCGCAAUGGACGGAAGUCUGACGGAGCGACGCCGCGUGAAUGAGGAAGGCCGAAAGGUUGUAAAAUUCUUUUACGGAUGAAGAAUACGGCGGGGAGGGAAUGCCCUGCUGAUGACGUUAGUCCGUGAAUAAGCCCCGGCUAAUUACGUGCCAGCAGCCGCGGUAACACGUAAGGGGCGAGCGUUGUUCGGAAUUAUUGGGCGUAAAGGGCGCGUAGGCGGUUACGUAAGUCUGAUGUGAAAGGCGGGGGCUCAACCCCCGGACUGCAUUGGAAACUGGGUAACUAGAGUCAUGGAGGGGGAGUUGGAAUUCCUGGUGUAGGGGUGAAAUCUGUAGAUAUCAGGAAGAACACCGGUGGCGAAGGCGAACUUCUAGCCAAUGACUGACGCUAGGCGCGAAAG
RNAcentral lists this ribosomal RNA (709 nucleotides) under uncultured spirochete. Its description in RNAcentral is "bacterial SSU rRNA". It matches the Rfam family "Bacterial small subunit ribosomal RNA", at positions 59 to 759 of the family's 1533-position model. Lineage: Bacteria; Pseudomonadati; Spirochaetota; Spirochaetia; Spirochaetales. The record is from RNAcentral.